AUCACCUUGGCAGAUGAAUGCAUUGGAUUUAGGAUCCAUUUAUAUAGGUUUAUACUAUAGGUGAUA
Molecule: transfer RNA, 66 nt
Filed under: Plesionika ortmanni
Lineage: Eukaryota; Metazoa; Arthropoda; Malacostraca; Decapoda; Pandalidae
Description: tRNA-Leu
Rfam family: tRNA
About the family: Transfer RNA (tRNA) molecules are approximately 80 nucleotides in length. Their secondary structure includes four short double-helical elements and three loops (D, anti-codon, and T loops). Further hydrogen bonds mediate the characteristic L-shaped molecular structure. tRNAs have two regions of fundamental functional importance: the anti-codon, which is responsible for specific mRNA codon recognition, and the 3' end, to which the tRNAs corresponding amino acid is attached (by aminoacyl-tRNA synthetases). tRNAs cope with the degeneracy of the genetic code in two manners: having more than one tRNA (with a specific anti-codon) for a particular amino acid; and 'wobble' base-pairing, i.e. permitting non-standard base-pairing at the 3rd anti-codon position.
Source: RNAcentral